This 472-nucleotide ribosomal RNA is filed under the name uncultured bacterium. RNAcentral describes it as "bacterial SSU rRNA". It matches the Rfam family "Bacterial small subunit ribosomal RNA", at positions 56 to 511 of the family's 1533-position model. The record is from RNAcentral.
UGCAGUCGAGCGAACAGACGAGGAGCUUGCUCCUCUGACGUUAGCGGCGGACGGGUGAGUAACACGUGGGUAACCUACCUAUAAGACUGGGAUAACUCCGGGAAACCGGGGCUAAUACCGGAUAACACAUGAAACCGCAUGGUUUCAUGAUGAAAGACGGUUUUGCUGUCACUUAUAGAUGGACCCGCGGCGUAUUAGCUAGUUGGUAAGGUAACGGCUUACCAAGGCAACGAUACGUAGCCGACCUGAGAGGGUGAUCGGCCACACUGGAACUGAGACACGGUCCAGACUCCUACGGGAGGCAGCAGUAGGGAAUCUUCCGCAAUGGGCGAAAGCCUGACGGAGCAACGCCGCGUGAGUGAUGAAGGUCUUCGGAUCGUAAAACUCUGUUAUUAGGGAAGAACAAGGAUGUAAGUAACUGUGCAUCCCUUGACGGUACCUAAUCAGAAAGCCACGGCUAACUACGUGCCAG